GAAACGACUGCUAAGACUGGAUAGGAGACAGGAAGGCAUCUUCUUGUUUUUAAAAGACCUAGCAAUAGGUAUGCUCAGGGAGGAGCUUGCGUCACAUUAGUUAGUUGGUGGGGUAAAGGCCUACCAAGACUAUGAUGUGUAGCCGGGCUGAGAGGUUGAACGGCCACAUUGGGACUGAGACACGGCCCAAACUCCUACGGGAGGCAGCAGUAGGGAAUUUUCGGCAAUGGAGGAAACUCUGACCGAGCAACGCCGCGUGAACGAUGAAGUAUUUCGGUACGUAAAGUUCUUUUAUUAGGGAAGAAUAAAUGAUGGAAAAAUCAUUCUGACGGUACCUAAUGAAUAAGCCCCGGCUAACUAUGUGCCAGCAGCCGCGGUAAUACAUAGGGGGCAAGCGUUAUCCGGAAUUAUUGGGCGUAAAGGGUGCGUAGGCGGUUAAAUAAGUUUAUGGUCUAAGUGCAAUGCUCAACAUUGUGAUGCUAUAAAAACUGUUUAGCUAGAGUAAGAUAGAGGCAAGUGGAAUUCCAUGUGUAGUGGUAAAAUGCGUAAAUAUAUGGAGGAACACCAGUAGCGAAGGCGGCUUGCUGGGUCUUUACUGACGCUGAGGCACGAAAGCGUGGGGAGCAAACAGGAUUAGAUACCCUGGUAGUCCACGCCGUAAACGAUGAGUACUAAACGUUGGGUAAAACCAGUGUUGAAGUUAACACAUUAAGUACUCCGCCUGAGUAGUACGUACGCAAGUAUGAAACUUAAAGGAAUUGACGGGACUCCGCACAAGCGGUGGACCAUGUUGUUUAAUUCGAAGGUACCCGAAAAACCUCACCAGGUCUUGACAUGCUUCUGCAAAGCUGUAGAACCACAGUGGAGGUUAUCAGUUGCACAGGUGGUGCAUGGUUGUCGUCAGCUCGUGUCGUGAGAUGUUGGGUUAAGUCCCGCAACGAGCGCAACCCUUAUUGUUAGUUACCAGCACGUAAUGGUGGGGACUUUAGCAAGACUGCCAGUGAUAAAUUGGAGGAAGGUGGGGACGACGUCAAAUCAUCAUGCCCCUUAUGACCUGGGCUACAAACGUGAUACAAUGGCUGUUACAAAGGGUAGCUGAAGCGCAAGUUUUUGGCGAAUCUCAAAAAAACAGUCUCAGUUCGGAUUGAAGUCUGCAACUCGACUUCAUGAAGUUGGAAUCGCUAGUAAUCGCGAAUCAGCAUGUCGCGGUGAAUACGUUCUCGGGGUUUGUACACACCGCCCGUCA
RNAcentral lists this ribosomal RNA (1246 nucleotides) under 'Prunus cerasus' phytoplasma. RNAcentral's name for it is "bacterial SSU rRNA". It matches the Rfam family "Bacterial small subunit ribosomal RNA", at positions 153 to 1399 of the family's 1533-position model. Lineage: Bacteria; Bacillati; Mycoplasmatota; Mollicutes; Acholeplasmatales; Acholeplasmataceae. The record is from RNAcentral.